This 448-nucleotide long non-coding RNA is filed under the name Homo sapiens (human). Its description in RNAcentral is "HSALNT0157713". Lineage: Eukaryota; Metazoa; Chordata; Mammalia; Primates; Hominidae. The record is from RNAcentral.
ACAGUCACAUUUUAUAACUUAUUAUAUCUGAAUUUAGAGUGAUUAUACGCUGUGGAUCUCAGGGCCUAAUGUUAAUUCAUACUUCGGGGAAAUGAAGAGUAUGAUAAAUUCAGGCCAAUGCCGGCACCUCCCUGCUUUUCUGCAUGGUUUGAGAAUUGACCCAGCAGUUCAGUCCAGUUUUGUGUAAGGAAAGCUCACAGUGGCCGGGUGAGGAAGCCAGGGGCUGAAUACUGAAGCCACACAAAGCGUGGACUCAGCCCCUCCGCGGGAGACAAAAAAGAUGGAUGUGGACGAUGAGAGAUGCCCUUGACAUCGUUCUGUGAACCUGAGAUGCUUCCAGGGGCAGGAGAUGUUGGUGGCCUGUGGCCUGAGCAGGAUGUGUCUUCCCUGAAUGACAGGCCUAUGAUCCCAUUAACAUAGAAGCAGAAAAUAAAAAAUUAAGACACUU